UACGAAGGGGGGCUAGCGUUGUUCGGAAUUACUGGGCGUAAAGGGCGCGUAGGCUGUGCUGUAAGUCAGGCGUGAAAUCCCCCGGGCUCAACCUGGGAAUUGCGUUUGAUACUGCGGCGCUGGAAUGCAGGAGAGGAUGGCGGAAUUCCCAGUGUAGAGGUGAAAUUCGUAGAUAUUGGGAAGAACACCGGUGGCGAAGGCGGCACUCUGGCCUGUAAUUGACGCUGAGGCGCGAAAGCGUGGGGGAGCAAACAGGG
This 257-nucleotide ribosomal RNA is filed under the name uncultured bacterium. RNAcentral's name for it is "partial 16S ribosomal RNA". It matches the Rfam family "Bacterial small subunit ribosomal RNA", at positions 524 to 777 of the family's 1533-position model. The record is from RNAcentral.